UACGGAGGGGACUAGCGUUGUUCGGAAUUACUGGGCGUAAAGCGCACGUAGGCGGAUUUGUAAGUCAGGGGUGAAAUCCCGGGGCUCAACCUCGGAACUGCCUUUGAUACUGCAAAUCUCGAGUCCGGAAGAGGUGAGUGGAAUUCCUAGUGUAGAGGUGAAAUUCGUAGAUAUUAGGAAGAACACCAGUGGCGAAGGCGGCUCACUGGUCCGGUACUGACGCUGAGGCGCGAAAGCGUGGGGAGCGAACAGG
This 253-nucleotide ribosomal RNA is filed under the name uncultured bacterium. Its description in RNAcentral is "partial 16S ribosomal RNA". It matches the Rfam family "Bacterial small subunit ribosomal RNA", at positions 524 to 776 of the family's 1533-position model. The record is from RNAcentral.